GCUCAGGCUUAGAAACAGCUGCCUGCCGAGUUUGAUGAACUGUUUGCCUCCAGGCUUCAGACUGAGAGAUGUCUAUUAAUAAUAUAAUACUAUUAUAAUAACAUUUGAAUACUAAGGGGGGGUUAAUGUCAUAAAUCUUGUGUAGGCUACUGAUAAGUCAGUUUGGUGUCAAUUGAUUGGAGAACAAAUCCAAGAAGGUUGAGAUAAAAAAAGGAUUAUAUAUUACUCCCAACAAUGCCUGUGACUAGUGCCUAGGGGGAGGGAUGGUUCUCUUAAUGCUUGGUCAAGACUAGAUUGUGCUCAUCCAUGCAACAGGAGAGACUGAGCCAUCUGACACUAAUUUCCAUUCAGGAACUGCACUUCAAAGAGUUCAUCAGGAAUCUUUCUGCAAAGAAAACAGGCGUAGCCACUUCUAAGGGUUUGGUAGUUGAUGUUCUGACUCAAGAGCUGGACUUGAGGACAAAGCGGGUUAAAAUUAGCAAAAGAGCAGACAAUCAAUCAGUGAAGGCAAACUAAUCCAAAAAAACGAGCAAGCAUACAGAAUGUAUCACUAUAUGACAUACCGCCGGUGAGAUUCUGCCGGGGAAUACUUGG
Molecule: long non-coding RNA, 594 nt
Organism: Cottoperca gobio
Lineage: Eukaryota; Metazoa; Chordata; Actinopteri; Perciformes; Bovichtidae
Exons: 3
Source: RefSeq, a predicted model, not a curated record